CACGUAGGCACCAAGCGUUGUCCGGAUUUAUUGGGCGUAAAGAGCUCGUAGGCGGUUCGGUAAGUCGGGUGUGAAAACUUUGGGCUCAACCCAAAGCCUGCAUCCGAUACUGCUGUGACUUGAGUCCGGUAGGGGAGUGGGGAAUUCCUGGUGUAGCGGUGGAAUGCGCAGAUAUCAGGAGGAACACCGGUGGCGAAGGCGCCACUCUGGGCCGGUACUGACGCUGAGGAGCGAAAGCGUGGGGAGCGAACAGG
Molecule: ribosomal RNA, 254 nt
Filed under: uncultured Ilumatobacteraceae bacterium
Lineage: Bacteria; Bacillati; Actinomycetota; Acidimicrobiia; Acidimicrobiales; Ilumatobacteraceae
Description: partial 16S ribosomal RNA
Rfam family: Bacterial small subunit ribosomal RNA
Source: RNAcentral